UCGUCCAGCUGCUUUCAGCCCCCGAAGCCCGAACACUGUUUGGCUUCCAAUCACUAGUGCAGCGAGAGUGGGUGGCAGCUGGACAUCCCUUCCUGACUCGGCUUGGGGGAACUGGGGCCAGUGAAGAGGUGAGAAUGAUUCGGGAUGGCAUCGGGGGGAUAUUACUAAAGAAGAGAAUGAGAAAUUAUUUUGUAUAAUCCAUUGGAGGUGAAUCCGGUCAGAAGGGCCCCGAGGUUAGGCUGAGAUGAAGAUCCUGAUGAGUGAGGCCUCACAAGCCCCUGCUACCCUCAAUUCAGAUUUUCAUUCCCUGACCUCCAUAGUUCCCCCUAUUCCCUGUGUUCUCCAUUCCCUUAUCAUCUCGUCAUCCUCCCUCUUUGGGUCCCAAUAAUUCCUUCCAACCUCUUAAUUUCUUUUCAGGCUCCGGUGUUUCUCCUCUUCCUUGAUUGUGUCUGGCAGCUCCUCCAGCAGUUUCCAGCUGAUUUUGAAUUCUCUGAGUUUUUCCUUCUUGCUCUUCAUGACAGUGUCAGGGUUCCUGACACCCUUACCUUCCUGAGAAAUACCCCCUGGGAGCGCGGAAAGCAGAGCGGACAGUUAAACUCCUAUACACAAGUCUACACCCCAGGAUACUCCCAGCCCCCAGCUGGGAACUCUUUUAACCUGCAGCUGUCUGUCUGGGACUGGGAUUUACGCUAUAGCAAUGCACAGAUACUACAAUUCCAGAAUCCUGGCUAUGACCCAGAACACUGUCCAGAUUCCUGGCUCCCUAGACCGCAGGUGAAGUGUCUAAACUUCCUAAAUUCCCUCGGCGUUCCCACAGGCUCAUGCUACUAGACAGUGAGAAGUGAAAGACACAAUGUCUUGAGUUCCUUAGGGAAAGCUACUCCACUACUCUUCUGCAGCUGUCACUUAUAGUCCCUGGGUGUCCCUAGGAAGACAGAAGACCUAGAAUAGCACAGAGGGCACCCUUUUUGUCCUUCCUCAAGUCUGUUUACUCAUCUUCCUGUCUCAUGCACACAUAAGUUGCCCUAAAAUCAACCUUAAUCAGUCCUGAGGCCUAGUUGA
This 1062-nucleotide small RNA is filed under the name Pongo abelii (Sumatran orangutan). RNAcentral's name for it is "retained intron". The record is from RNAcentral. Lineage: Eukaryota; Metazoa; Chordata; Mammalia; Primates; Hominidae.